GUGCACUAAUUUUGUGUACAAGAUAAUGCCAAAUACGUCUAAAUGGAUUCAAGCGAAAUACAAUCCAAAAUCUCAUACCGACUUGAAGACCCGUCGAACUAUGACCAUCUUGUUCUUCACAAGCUAUGGCUCCGACUUCCUGCUAUCAAAAGCCACUACAACCUCCAGCAGUGACCAUCAAAAUAACCAUUAGUAGCUGCCCAACGAAAAUUUCGACCAUAAGA
RNAcentral lists this long non-coding RNA (224 nucleotides) under Olea europaea (common olive). Its description in RNAcentral is "long non-coding RNA (OEUR_LNC003714)". Lineage: Eukaryota; Viridiplantae; Streptophyta; Magnoliopsida; Lamiales; Oleaceae. The record is from RNAcentral.